Molecule: long non-coding RNA, 289 nt
Filed under: Nicotiana benthamiana
Lineage: Eukaryota; Viridiplantae; Streptophyta; Magnoliopsida; Solanales; Solanaceae
Description: long non-coding RNA (NBEN_LNC025535)
Source: RNAcentral
AGGAGGUGUAAUAAAGGCUCACGAAAUGGAUGCCCGAGGUUUGUUGUUGCUCAUUGGGUGUUUCGGGAUUCCACAAGCAUUUACAAAUCUGGAUAUCAGAUAUUUGGUUACGGUUAGUGAUGCCUGGAUGAUUUCUGGUGCCCUCAGGAGAUCAAGUGUUCUCAUGGAAACAUAGUGAUGCCUGGGUGAUUUCUGGUGCCCUCAGGAGAUCAAGUGUUCUCAUGGAAAAGAUCCCAGAAAUAAUUGAGUGGAUGUUGAAGCAAAACAUAGUAGUUGAGGCCGUUGACAU